This 433-nucleotide ribosomal RNA is filed under the name uncultured bacterium. RNAcentral describes it as "partial 16S ribosomal RNA". It matches the Rfam family "Bacterial small subunit ribosomal RNA", at positions 29 to 507 of the family's 1533-position model. The record is from RNAcentral.
AACGAACGCUGGCGGCAUGCCUAACACAUGCAAGCCGAACGAGACCUUCGGGUCUAGUGGCGCACGGGUGCGUAACGCGUGGGAACCUGCCCUUAGGUUCGGAAUAACCCCCCGAAAGGGGUGCUAAUACCGGAUAAUGUCUUCGGACCAAAGAUUUAUCGCCUUUGGAUGGGCCCGCGUUGGAUUAGCUAGUUGGUAGGGUAAAAGCCUACCAAGGCGACGAUCCAUAGCUGGUCUGAGAGGAUGAUCAGCCACACUGGGACUGAGACACGGCCCAGACUCCUACGGGAGGCAGCAGUGGGGAAUAUUGGACAAUGGGCGAAAGCCUGAUCCAGCAAUGCCGCGUGAGUGAUGAAGGCCUUAGGGUUGUAAAGCUCUUUUACCCGGGAUGAUAAUGACAGUACCGGGAGAAUAAGCUCCGGCUAACUCCGUG